This 464-nucleotide ribosomal RNA is filed under the name uncultured bacterium. RNAcentral's name for it is "partial 16S ribosomal RNA". It matches the Rfam family "Bacterial small subunit ribosomal RNA", at positions 338 to 795 of the family's 1533-position model. The record is from RNAcentral.
CCUACGGGUGGCAGCAGUAGGGAAUUUUCGGCAAUGGGGGGAACCCUGACCGAGCAACGCCGCGUGAAGGAAGAAGGAAUUCGUUCUGUAAACUUCUGUUAUAAAGGAAGAAAGACGGAUGGAGGAAAUGACAUCCGAGUGACGGUACUUUAUGAGAAAGCCACGGCUAACUACGUGCGAGCAGCCGCGUUAAUGCGUAGGUGGCAAGCGUUAGCCGGAAUUAUUGGGGGUAAAGAGGGGGCAGGGGGCAGCAAAGGUCGGUGGUGAACGACUGAAGCUUAACUUCAGUAAGCCACAGAAACCGGGCAGCUAGAGUGCAGGAGAGGAUCGUGGAAUUCCAUGUGUAGCGGUGAAAUGCGUAGAUAUAAGGAGGAACACCAGUGGCGAAGGCGACGAUCUGGCCUUCAACUGACGCUCAGGCACGAAAGCGUGGGGAGCAAAUAGGAUUAGAUACCCCAGUAGUC